AUUACUCUGUCUGAAAUUUCUGGAUAUAUAAUAAGGAAUUUAGACCUGAUUGAUGUUAUAAAUUUUGUUGCAUUUUUGUGAGGAUCAUGAGUUUUACUGCUGCAUAUAUAUUUUUUUCUUUGUAGUGAAUCUUUUGCCAUGAAUGCAUGUUAGUGCCUAUGAUUCACCAUUUUUUUUUCUUUUCGAGAGAGAGUUCUUGAUGUGAGCUCUCUGUUCAUACUCUUUUUGCAGUGAAAGAGUAUGAACAGAGAGCUCUGAGAGGCCUGCAUUCAAUAAUUUGAAUUUUGGAAGUAAUUCACACUUCUCAUUUAUGUAUCUAAUUCCAUCCUACUCGCCCUCUCCUCAGCGGUUAUAUCUUUUGGGCAAUUUUGGGAAUGUAUAUUUGAGAAUUGUGAAUUUUAAGAUUGUCCUCGAUAGGUUAAUAAAGAAGGCACAUAAGCUUAGUCUUAAGCCAAUUUGUUUAUGUGCUCACGGUAAAGGCUUUGAAGCUGAUGAUGGAUUGUAAAAGAUAUUUUUGGGUUUAUUAUGUGACAAGUGAGAAACUUUGAACUAAUACUAUGGACUGAGUUGGUGGUUUAUGUAAUGUGCAAGCCAGGAUAACUGUGUUUAAUCUUAAAAAUCAUCAUCUGCUUAGAGGUACAGGAAUACAAUGUUAUGUAGACCAAUAACCGGCCAUCCUCCCUACAAUAGGUCUGCUAUAAACUGAACAUUGUUACGUAGGAAAUGCUGAUAAGAAACUAGUUUAUUGAAUUGAUUUUGGUGUGAGUUCAGCCAAAAUCAUUCUAGGUCUAAGUUUCUUCCUUCCAUCUGGUCCCUCUCUCUCUCUCUCUCUCUCUCUCUCUCUCUCUCUGUGGACAACACUUUGAACUGUAUGACUGCUGCGACUUGCAACACAGUCAACAAAUGUAUGUGUAUGGGCUCAGUAGAACUAAAAACAUUAUACACAGAUGGUUUUGUUUUGGUUAAGAGUCAUGAUGUCCUAGGGUCUGUUUUUGUGCCUCAGAUAUGACCAGUACAGGUUCUUUUAAUGCCAUUCAUGGCAGGUGGCUAUUUUCAUGUUUCUAUGAAAUAGUAAAAAAAAAAAAAAAGAAGAAGAAUGUUUAGACUGAAAAGACAGUUGCAGCCAGUUAAGGUAUGCUUAAGUCUUUAGUACAACUGGAAAUAGAAUAGCAAUACCAAUCAGCAAGUUUGUUCUGUUCGUGGGUAGCAAUGUCUAUCUAUGGGGUUUGUUGUGAAGGUCAGCAGUUUUGAUGUUUGACCUCAUUGGCUAUAGCAUGGCUUUGUGGCGUGAGGUUGUAGAAUAAGAUGGGGUUGCAUGCGUUGUAUAGGAGCAGAUAUAUGUUUUUGUCUGGGGCUUUUAUGUUCAGGAUGUUUUAGGUCUUCAUGGGUUAUUUGUACAGUAUCUAGCCUGAAAUUCUGAGGCUUCUCUUUGUAAUUUCCUUUUCUUCUUCUUC
Rosa chinensis is the source of this 1454-nucleotide long non-coding RNA. RefSeq lists it as uncharacterized. NCBI's taxonomy places the organism in Eukaryota, Viridiplantae, Streptophyta, Magnoliopsida, Rosales, Rosaceae. The record is from RefSeq and is a predicted model, not a curated record. The transcript is spliced from 2 exons.